UUUUGGAGUUGGAUUGAGCAGGUUGAGGUGCUGGAGACAAGCCAAAAUAGUGGCUAUCAACUUUUCUACUAGAUAUCUUUUGCAACCGCAUCAAUAAAAAAUAAAGCGCAGAUGUGCAUGCCACAUUGAAGAUGUGUUUUUUUCACAGAAGCGGAAUUGUUGUCACAAAAGCGGUAAAUAUUUUGCAGGUGUGCUUUGUCAGGUCAAUUUAAUGAAUCCUUUAUUAGAUAAAACUAAAUCCCUUUUUCUCCCAACCCCAAACGCCUCUCCUAUUGCACCAUUGCACAACCACUGGCACAUCACCAUCCAGGGGAACCAGAUGCGGCCUCGCACCUGCGAUGAAUCUUCCUCAUAUGUGAAGUUUAAAUAGUGAAAUGUCGCAGAAGGGAUUCGUUUUUCGCUGAAGCGAUGCUGCACCUGCGCUAGUUUUUUCACAGUACUUUGAGCUGUGAAAAUGGAUUCUAGCAUGAAUGAAGUUGUGGCUGAUGGCACGAAAUUGAAUAGAAGGCUAUGUUGGAGCAGUAUGAUACUUUAGAUUAAUGUCCGUUGAUUGUCAUCGCUGAGUUGUGCCAGCGGGCAAAUGUGGAUGUGCAUGGAACUGAUCAUUAGAUACUUGCAUCCGUUGAGAGUAGAAGGAGAGGGUAGUUCUUUGAAGAGCUAGAAAAAAUAGGCAGAGUUACAUGAGAAAUUAGAAGUUGUUGUUAACAGGCUUGAGACAACAUAUGGGAAUAUGUCCAAGGCACAUGUCUCUCUUCAGGCAGAUUUCAAAGCAGAGAAAAAGAAACACAAGAACAAGAGCAAUUUCAUGGUCAAAAUAUAGAGAGGCAUCAAUGCAAUCUUUAAAUGGGGGCAACCGAAUAAGAAGGUACCGAUUGAGGACGAGGAUGACAGUGAGGAGUAUUCUUUCGUAUUGGAUGAUGAUGAUGAUCAUGAUGCUGGUGAUGAUGGGGCUCAGAGUUCUACACAUCAGUGAUGAGGAAGCACAAUUAGAGGUAAUUACGAAAUUCAGGGUGCUUCAAUGUUUGAAACUAAAGGUCAAUAAGGAUUAUGUGGUUUAAAAAAAGUGAAUUACAAAAAAGAAAGAAAAAUGUUGGUAUAGGAUGUUGUAACUUGCAUCCCAAAUGCUUAUCCUAUCCUUCCCUAAGCCUACAUUACAAGUUUAAAUAAUCCUUAUGUGAUCCAACCAAAUGGUAUUAUAUUUGUUAGCACUAGAACUUUUUCGUUGAGAGUGAGACUUUGUGCAAAUAUUCCUUGUGUUGUUGUUGUGAAUAUGGUGAAUUUGGAACUUUCUUUA
Molecule: long non-coding RNA, 1294 nt
Organism: Nicotiana tabacum (common tobacco)
Lineage: Eukaryota; Viridiplantae; Streptophyta; Magnoliopsida; Solanales; Solanaceae
Source: RefSeq, a predicted model, not a curated record